CAAAUUAAAGCUUAAUAAAAGUAUUUUAUUUACAUUAAAAAGAUGAUUGUGAGAUUCAAUUUAAUUUGA
This 69-nucleotide transfer RNA is filed under the name Cucujoidea sp. 2 KM-2017. RNAcentral's name for it is "tRNA-Val". Lineage: Eukaryota; Metazoa; Arthropoda; Insecta; Coleoptera. The record is from RNAcentral.